AGUGGAUGGGGAGCAACCUAGUUGUGCGUGUGUAAAGGUAGUGCCAAGAAAAGCGAUGAUCAUGUUGAAAAUCAAUUCCCGGUACCCGAAACCGACACAGGUGGGCAAGUAGAGAAUACUAAGGGGCGCGAGGUAACUCUCUCCAAGGAACUCGGCAAAAUGACCCCGUAACUUAGGGAGAAGGGGUGCCACCGAGAGGUGGUCGCAGUGAAGAGGCCCAGGCGACUGUUUAGCAAAAACAUAGGUCUCUGCAAACUCGAAAGAGGAGGUAUAGGGGCUGACGCCUGCCCAGUGCCGGAAGGUUAAAGAAGUUGGUCAGUCUUAGGAUGAAGCUAGCGACUGAAGCCCCGGUGAACGGCGGCCGUAACUAUAACGGUCCUAAGGUAGCGAAAUUCCUUGUCGGGUAAGUUCCGACCCGCACGAAAGGCGUAACGAUCUGGGCGCUGUCUCGGAGAGAGGCUCGGCGAAAUAGGAUUGUCUGUGAAGAUACGGACUACCUGCAUUUGGACAGAAAGACCCUAUGAAGCUUUACUAUAGCUUGGAAUUGUGUUCGGGCUUCCUGUGCGCAGGAUAGGUGGGAGGCGUAGAAGGUAUUCUUGUGGGGAUACUGGAGCCAACGGUGAGAUACCACUCUCAGGAGGCUAGAAUUCUAACUUAAUUAAGGACAGUUUCAGGUGGGUAGUUUGACUGGGGCGGUCGCCUCCAAAAAGGUAACGGAGGCGUACAAAGGUUCCCUCAGACUGGUUGGAAAUCAGUCGAAGAGUGCAAAGGCAGAAGGGAGCUUGACUGCGAGAAGUACAGUUCGAGCAGGGUGGAAACACGGUCUUAGUGAUCCGACGGUGCUGUGUGGAAGGGCCGUCGCUCAACGGAUAAAAGUUACUCUAGGAUAACAGGCUGAUCUCCCCCAAGAGUUCACAUCGACGGGGAGGUUUGGCACCUCGAUGUCGGCUCAUCGCAACCUGGGGCGGAAGUACGUCCUAAGGGUUGGGCUGUUCGCCCAUUAAAGCGGUACGUGAGCUGGGUUCAGAACGUCGUGAGACAGUUCGGUCCAUAUCCGAUGUAGGCGUGAGAAUAUUGAGAGGAGCCUUCCUUAGUACGAGAGGACCGGGAAGGACGCACCGCUGGUGUACCUGUUAUGAUGCCAAUUGUAAACGCAGGGUAGCCAAGUGCGGAGAGGAUAACCGCUGAAAGCAUCUAAGUGGGAAGCCCACCUCAAGAUGAGUAUUCUGGUGUAAGGUCACGGGAAGACGACCCGUAAAUAGGCACGAGGUGGAAGUGCAGAGAUGUAUGAAGCCGAAGUGUACUAAUAGACCGUCGGCUUGACC
RNAcentral lists this ribosomal RNA (1325 nucleotides) under metagenome. RNAcentral's name for it is "bacterial LSU rRNA". It matches the Rfam family "Bacterial large subunit ribosomal RNA", at positions 1561 to 2925 of the family's 2925-position model. The record is from RNAcentral.